This 79-nucleotide transfer RNA is filed under the name Pristionchus pacificus. It matches the Rfam family "tRNA". Rfam says of the family: Transfer RNA (tRNA) molecules are approximately 80 nucleotides in length. Their secondary structure includes four short double-helical elements and three loops (D, anti-codon, and T loops). The record is from Rfam by way of RNAcentral. Lineage: Eukaryota; Metazoa; Nematoda; Chromadorea; Rhabditida; Neodiplogasteridae.
GGGGGUAUAGCGCAGUGGUUAGAGAGAGAGCACCCGCAUACGUAUCGGAAGGUCGGGGGUUCGACUCCCUCUGCUUCCA